Long non-coding RNA from Bos taurus (domestic cattle), 464 nucleotides. Lineage: Eukaryota; Metazoa; Chordata; Mammalia; Artiodactyla; Bovidae. The record is from Ensembl.
AAGUCAGAAUCUCUGGGGGUGGAACCCUGGCAGCUGCAUUUUAAAAAAACUCCCUGAGUGAUUCCAAUGUUCAGCCAAGUUUGAGAAUUGCUGCUCUGGAUAAGACUUACCCUUCCAGUGUGUGUCACUGGGCAAGUCCUUCAUCCUGUUACUAUUGGAGAGCAGGGUCUGGUGGGUCAGCUCUGGUGCUCUGCCAGGUGCCAGCAUGCCGACAUUUGGAAGGUUGCUUCCGAUUGCCCAUUUCAGAUUCUGGCUUCGUCUGAGGGGAGGCCUCAUAGUGACAGCAAUGCUGUGAGUCCAUGGACUUUCAGGGGCAAGACCGCUUAAUUUGUAGGAGUUCUUCCAACCCUUCCUAUGUUCUUACUCAAAUCCUUCAUUGUAUGUGCUUCAAAUAUUGACACUCAAUUUGUUUCUUCUUUUAUCUUUCUUUAUGGUGUUCUUUGAUGAACAGAAAUCCUUAGUUU